This 451-nucleotide ribosomal RNA is filed under the name uncultured bacterium. Its description in RNAcentral is "partial 16S ribosomal RNA". It matches the Rfam family "Bacterial small subunit ribosomal RNA", at positions 28 to 507 of the family's 1533-position model. The record is from RNAcentral.
AGCGAACGCUGGCGGCAUGCCUAACACAUGCAAGUCGCACGGGGGGGCUUCGGCCUCCCAGUGGCGGACGGGUGAGGACCGCGUAGGGACCUGUCGAGGGGUGGGGGAUAACCGCGGGAAACUGCGGCUAAUACCGCACGACGCCGCGGCGUGACAGCCGGGGCCAAAGGCGAAAGCCGCCCGCCGAGGGGCCUGCGUCCGAUUAGCUGGUUGGCGGGGUAGCGGCCCACCAAGGCGUCGAUCGGUAGCUGGUCUGAGAGGGUGAUCAGCCACACCGGGACUGAGACACGGCCCGGACUCCUACGGGAGGCAGCAGUGGGGAAUAUUGGACAAUGGGCGCAAGCCUGAUCCAGCAAUGCCGCGUGGGUGAAGAAGGUCUUCGGAUUGUAAAGCCCUUUCGGCGGGGACGAUGGUGACGGUACCCGCAGAAGAAGCCCCGGCUAACUUCGUG